This 818-nucleotide ribosomal RNA is filed under the name Alcaligenes faecalis. RNAcentral describes it as "bacterial SSU rRNA". It matches the Rfam family "Bacterial small subunit ribosomal RNA", at positions 615 to 1418 of the family's 1533-position model. Lineage: Bacteria; Pseudomonadati; Pseudomonadota; Betaproteobacteria; Burkholderiales; Alcaligenaceae. The record is from RNAcentral.
GGCAGGUUUCUUAAAUCUCGCCGAGUCUAGCAGUAUGUCAUGAGGGGCGGGGUACGAACUCCCACGUGCUAGCAGUGAUAUGUUGUAGGAUAUGUGGCAGGCAAUACGUGAUUGAAUACGGCAGCCUCCCCGGGAUUAUACUGUCGCUCAGUCACGAUAGCGUGGGGAGGCAAACAGGAUCAGUUGGCUCUUUGUAGUCCAUGCCCUAACCGAUGUCUACUAGACGUUGGGGCCGAUAGCCCUUAGUAGCGCAGCUACUCGCGUGCAGUUGACCGCACUUCGGAGUACGGUCGCAAGAUUAAAACUCAAAGGAAUCGACGGGGACCCGCACAAGCGGUGGAUGAUGUGGAUUAAUUCGAUGCAACGCGAAAAACCUUACCUACCCUUGACAUGUCUGGAAUGCCGAAGAGAUUUGGCAGUGAUCGCAAGAGAACCGGAACACAGGUGCUGCAUGGCUGUUUUCAGCUCGUGUCGUGAGAUGUUGGGUUAAGUCCCGCAACGAGCGCAACCCUUGUCAUUAGUUGGUAUGCAAGAGCACUCUAAUGUGACUGCUGGUGACAAACCGGAGGAAGGUGGGGAUGACGUCAAGUCCUCAUGGCCCUUAUUGGUAGGGCUUCACACGUCAUUCAAUGGUCGGGACAGAGGGUCGCCAACCCGCGAGGGGGAGCCAAUCUCAGAUACCCUAUGGUAGUGGGUAUCGCAGUCUCCAACUAAAAUGCUUGAAGUAGGAAUCGCUAGUAAUCGCGGAUCAGAAGGUAGCGGUGAAUACGUGCCCGGGUCUUGUACACACGGCCCGUCACUCCAUGGGAGUGGGUCAC